Felis catus (domestic cat) is the source of this 7815-nucleotide long non-coding RNA. RefSeq lists it as uncharacterized. The record is from RefSeq and is a predicted model, not a curated record. NCBI's taxonomy places the organism in Eukaryota, Metazoa, Chordata, Mammalia, Carnivora, Felidae. The transcript has 3 exons.
UCAGAGGUAAUUCUCAAGUAGCCUUGUGAGGCUGGCAUUGUUAACCCUGCUUUGCCCUGUUUUCUAAACAAGAAAACUGAUAUCCAGAGAACUGAAACAGCUUUUUUGGCCUCAGAACUGCUUAUUGGGACCACCAAUAAAUUCCCACACCAGCGGGGCUAGAAUGCAGUUGGCCCCAUUCCACAGACUUUCCAGAAAGAAGGAGGAGGAGAAACAGCAGCAAAUGGCAGCAGUCUGCCACUUUCCGCACCAGGCCCGCCUUGUCCAAGCCACUGUCUGGACUAUUUCAAAAGCGUCUUAACUGAUGUCUCUACUUCCUUUUUGUUCCCUUGCAGUCAGUUCUCAGCACAGCAGCUGCAGUGAUCUUACUGAAAGCUUAGAAGAACUUCUCUAAUGUGAAAAUAAGAAGAACUGUAUCGAUACGCCAGAGCUCAGAUGGCCAGGAUGCCCAGUUCAUCCAGUAACUCUAGGUUAUACAUGUGGGGAACGCAGAUUGUGGGGGGUGGCUUGGCCUUUAAAGGGCUAAGUGUUGAGUGCCCUUUGGGUCAGUGCACAAUGACAUGCGGUUAUGGGGCACAGCCUAGCUCAUGGAGGAGAGAUGGUGAAGGUCAUUUCAAGACUGGUGUGGAGGGAGGAAGAGGAUGUUCCAGGCCCGUCCAGGGGCUUGAUGUCCCUCAGCAACGAGGCCAUGCACCAGGGUAUGUGUGUGUGAAGUGGGUGUGUGUGUGGACAGGGAUGGGUGGAUAGACAAGAGUGCAGUGUGUCCCAUGUCCACUGAUGCAUCUGUUUGCCGGGGUGGAUGUGUGUGAAGGCGGGCUGCAGGGAGGGGUAUGUGUGUGCAGUCUCGUAUCUGGGGAGCACUAUGGUGGGGUGUCCUGAGUGUGUGUACCUGAGGAUGGGUGACAUGCUCAGGUGUGAGUGUGGCCCCGUGUACGGGUGAGUGCGGGGUCACAGUGCGCUUUGUGUAUGGGCAAUGGCCGUGCAUGCCCAAGUGUGUGUGAGAUUCUCUGCAUGGUGGGUGUGUGAGGAAAUCACCCUCUGUCUUCAGCAGCCCUGUUGGCCCUAGUGCAGGAUGGGGCGGGGCAGGCUGCCUGGCCACCUGACUGACAGGACUGUAAUGAUAGCUUUUAUGGGGCCUGCUGAGUCCCGGGACCUGCUGACAGAGGACGAGGAAUGAGGAAGUCCCACAGGCUUCUCCGGGUUUUCAUUUCAUUUCAAGAGGCACAGAGUGACCUUUGUCUCCACUACUUGGGCUGGUGUCUCCCCCAGAGAAGGGGAAAGGUCAGGUUUCACUUUCUCCAGUUGUUUUCACUUUCAGAUCCCCUUGAUUAAACACCAGGAAAGGUGGGGAAGCAAUGACAUGACGUGUGGCGGCUCAGGCGCCUUCAUGAGAGGCCCUGGCCAAGACGGCCAUCCUGCACAGAGACUGGGGCUCAGCAGCCACGAUCCACCAGCCCAGCCCACCUGAAGAGAGGUGCUGUGACCCCCCAGAGCACACCCACUGUAGCUGUCUGGGCCUCCUCAUUUGUACUGCUAAGAAAACAGCUCCUGAGAGGAGGCGUGGUUGCCCACAGAGACGCAGGCACUGGUGCCAGAGCUGGGACCAGAGAACCUGCUGUCAGGUCUAGGAUUGGUGGAGCACCGCUGGCUGACAGGCCAACAGCAAGGAAAGGUCCACUCAUAAACACGCUUUCAGAAAGGAAGAAAGGCAAGCCUGAUCGAAGACACCCACCUCGACAUUGCACUUGGGUGAGGAUGACGCAGUGAACAUCUUUGUGAGUGAUUCCCACGUAAGAGCAGAGCUGGUAUUUGCUAUGACACUGUCCAGGUUAACAACACCAUUGUAUGCAUUUGUAAAAUAAAUAAUAAGAUUUCUUUAUUCUUAGACAUCUACAACACUUGCAAGCCCUAUUAAUAAUACUUGUGGAUUGGAGAUAUGCCAGCAAAAUCAAUAUUUAUUGCAAAAUAUUUGAUAUUUGAAAACAGAUCAGUCUUGUUCAUUUAUCCUGUAUAGUGUCACAUUUUAGACUAAUUUGUUUACUCAUAUGCUUGUGAAAUGCUUUGGGACGAACACUGCUCCUAAACACAAUGUCUGGAGCAUGCUCUGCUUCGCCUCCCUGCACAGUGUUUUGGGGAUGUGUUGACACCUCUGUUGGCCUUGGGAGGGAGUCAUGGAUUGGGCUCCUGCCCAGCCCCCAGAUUUAGGCGGGUCAGCAGCCACGUUACCCUCUACAUCAGCCUUGGCUAAAAUAACUGGCAGGUUGAGGCAAAAACCUGCUAGAACCUCAUAUUUCUUCUCAUCGUGGUUUCCCUACAGAUGCCAGGUCACGAGCUGGACCUAGUGUUGAAAGAAUUAGCAAGACAAGAGGGGAGUUGACCGGCUUUUGGUGUGUGCAGGCUAAGGGCCAAGCUGGGGGGCAGCAGGCAGACCCCAGCCUUGGUAGACUUGAGGAGCAGGCUUCCUGCUCACUCUGCUUUUAGGAGCUUCUAAAAGUCAUUUUGGCCUCUGAACCCAGAGAAGGAAACCUGGGGCUGUGACUUUGGAUCACGUGACCCAGAUGGGCCAUGCUGUCCACCCCCAAUCCAGCAUGAGCUGUGCCCUGCCUGGCUGGACUGGGAGACAACAGUCAGCCACUGGAGCAAGGGAUUCUCCCCCGACCAGGAGCCUGGGCAACACUGCCCAAGAAAGGAGCAUAUUCCAUGGGGGUACUUGAAAUGAUUUUCGGUACAUAAACUUUAGCAUUUUUGUAAAUGGCUAUGAAUUAUUUCAAUCUAAACAUCAAAGUCAAUAAUCAUUUUAUUAUACCCUGGUGUGCCCUAGGCUGACUUCUUUAACUUAUGCCACAUCAUCACGUUAUUUAGCCAUUUUAAGUAAGGUGGCUUUAUUUUUUUUUUCAGUAUAUGAAAUUUAUUGUCAAAUUGGUUUCCAUACAACACCCAGUGCUCAUCCCAAAAGGUGCCCUCCUCAAUACCCAUCACCCACCCUCCCCUCCCUCCCACCCCCCAUCAACCCUCAGUUUGUUCAGUAAGGUGGCUUUGUCUGUCCAGCAAGACUGACUUCCCUAAGGGAGGACCUAUGCCUGAAUUUGUUUGGGCUGAGAGUUCCAUCAACAAAGUGAGCCAGGCACAAAAAGAAGCCCAGCUGUGAGCAGAUCUUCCCAACUCUCGGCUCUGGGCAAGACAGGUUUGUUUACAUUUGGUGACCAAAUCAACUCUUUAAAAAAAUCUUUCAUCUGCCUUUUAUUGACCCUUGGCCCCAUCCCUGGCCCUUCUUUGUUCUUUAGUCCUCUUUCAAGGUCCCAAAUCUGAGGCCUGGGAAUUGGGAGCAUCAGUUGAUGAGGAAUCGACAAGGGGAGGGAUGCCCUCACAGCAAUCAGAGGACACCCUGCCCUUGUGGAUUCCUGGAUCUUUCACCUCCAGAGAAUGGGAGGCAGCCAUGGAUGCUGCUUCCAGUAGGGGGGCCAUCAGAAGGUAGUUGAGGGUUUCUUCUGGGGUGGGACCCAUGGAGGGGAGAGCCAAGCUGGCCAGGUGGACAGGGAGCCUGUGGCCAGGGGACUUUGAUUUGUGAGCUGCUGAGUGACCAAUCCAUUGUUCCCGAGCAGCCAGCUGCAGGAUGGAAGAGGAUUUGUUUUAUGCCCCAUCUGAGAACUUGAAGAAGGAAAGGAUUAAAAGAAACAGGAAAAACUCAGUUAUAGAGGAGAGUAGCCAGGACUGUGUCAAAUCUUCAAGAAUGGACAGAUUAUCCUGGAAUAAAUGUGUUCAUUCAUUCAACAAAUAUUUAUUGAGCAUCUUUUGAGCGCCAGGCAGUGAUCCAGGCACUGCUCCACCGGCUUUAUUAAAAUAUGGCUGUUUUAAAUCAGAUCUGGGUCUCGGUAAGGAAGUGAGUACCGUUUUAUUAUAGCAUUUGCCAAAAAAAAUAUCAAAUACUUUGAGGCUUCAUCCAGAGAAACUCAACCCCUGCCUCAGCAGCUUCGUAUGUUCUUGAGCACAUACACCUCAGCCCUCUGAGAAUGAGCCCCCUUCUUCCUGUGCAGAUAUGAUCAGCCCUUGCUGGCUGAGGGAAACAGGGGAGACAUUUGGCUGGGGGCUCAAGGUAAAAGCUGUUUAUGUAGUCCCUCCUGCAGACAGAGGGCAGAGAGGAAGGAGCCGGGGAGACUCUGAGGCUUUGCCCCUGGGGAUCAAUGCUGGCCUGGGUUGAGGCUAUGCUCAUGCUCUGACCUUAGCAAAUGUGUUCAUUCCAUUUCCUUUCCAGGGCUGGCAUCUGCCCUGUGUGUAAAGUCCUUCUGUGGGUACUGGUCAGGGAGUUCAGAGUGCCAGAGGAAACAGAGAGUAUUCUAAAUGUAAUUGAUAACAUUUGUCUACCUUUGCAGAGACAUGGCUUUGUGUCCUUUUAAAACUCCCAUGGUUGGGGCACAGAGAAAACACAACGGUUAGAAAGGAAUAUCUGAAUCUAACCUGAAAACAGGCAGAGCACCCUCUGAUGGCCAUCACUACCACCUACCUAUGGCUGGCACACCAUUAACAGCCAUUGAUUCCUCUUUCUGCUCUCCAGACAGAGUAAAAUGACACAGAGGAAGUUAGGAAAUGAGCCAAGAGUGAGUCCAGGCACAGAACCAAGCUGAUGUCAAGGGACGCACGACUGUCAGCUGAGCCAAAGUGCAGGGCCAGACCAUCCCUCCAGUUUGGGUGGGAGUGGCCCGCAUUUGUAUGAGCCUGCUGUAUUGAUGAGAGAUUCAGGAUGAGGUUGCCGCACUUACAGCAGAAUUACCUGGGAACUUGUUAGAAAUGCCAGUUCUCAGGCCCCACCCCAGAUCCACUGCAUCAGAAGCUCCAGGGGUAGGGCCCAGUGAUCUGUGUCUCUGACACACCCUCAAAUAUGAGAAUCUCACUGCUUUACAUGGAACACCUCCAUUCAUCUUCUUUACAUCUGCACAGGCCAGGUAAGUAUUGUCGUACCUAACCUACAGGUGAGAACGCCAGAUCCCACUGCUCAUUGAGUGGCCCAAGGGUCUGGACUCCCCAGUGUCCUGCUGCUGUCACUGGUUUCUCUCUUCGACUUCCACAACAGGCCCUCAGUGGUGGGGAAGACAGAGCAUCAGAGGUGAGUGGAACCCAAAAUGUGCUAUCAUAGAGACCAUAUGGGCCAUGCUUUCAUAUGGCCUGUGACACUCUCUCAGGGACAGGUGGAAGAAGUGUUUUGCAAGGUAACCUGAGGUUACAUAAGGGACAGAUGGCCUGCUUGCAUAGCAAGAGCAGUUAGGCUAGCUAAGGGAAUGAAUCUCACAUUAGUAGCAAAGGAUGAACUUUGGCACAUGAGCUACAUUGAAUGUUUUAGGUCUCCAGACAUACCAAAGUGGGGAGAAGCAAGUUGCAGCUGGAGUGGAGGACAUUCUUAUAGUUUUCCACCCUCUACCAUCACUGUGAGUCUAAAUGACUCCCCCCCUCCACCAUAGGGAAGCUUUUUGUACAAAAUGGCCAAGACUCACAUCUCACAGCAGAGUCUGUGGAAGUUUACAAGGGCAUGAAAACAUGGAAGUUGCUAACUUCUGAAGGAAAAUGGAAAAUUUAGGGAGAUAGAAAUAGUUUUAAAAGACAGAAUGAGGGAGGGGAGUGAUUGAGAGUGGCAUGAGGUACAGAGCAGGGAGCCCAUGUGGUCACAUAAUGUGCAUGGUGGGGACAUCUUCACUGUCUGGGUGCCGAGACUCCAUACCCUUGGCACUUUAGCCUGGUUCCAGAAAGUGAUUUAUCUCAGUCUGGGAUGCACAAUACCAUGACCCUUAGCCUUCCUAUUUGCUGCUAUUAUAACUGUUUGGCCAUCAGGAGUGAGAGAGAAGUCUAGCAAGACUCAGAGAUUUCUGCCUUGGAGUUGGUGGGAAACAGGUGAGCAGGAUGAUAAGGAGGUUUGGGGGAAAGAUGGAUGCACUCACCUGAGUUCCACACAUCUGUGGGCUAUCCAGACGAGCAGGCAGGGACCACCGGUGAUUUGGAAGUUGGAGAGGAUCCAGGUUACAGAACGCUGGUGUGAGUGACUAACAGCAGCAGGUGGCAGCUGAGGUCACGGGGAUCACAGUGGGGAGAGGAUCAGAGCACUGGAGUGCUGGCAUCUGGGAGGUGUGCGCACCAUGAGGGUGCUGUGGAGGAGCCUGAGAAAUAGGGUCAGGGUGGGAAAGGCAGCAGGGGCAGAGUGUGUAGGCUACGCAGGGAAAGAGUGGUCGAGGCUGCCGAGAGCCCACCAAGAGCAGAGCCUAGCCCCUGUUGAACUUGUCAAGGGUGACUCCACUGUGAUGGUGAAAUCUCCAAGCCAGCUAAUAUGGGUUUCAGCCGUGAAUGGUAAGUGAGAGAAAUAGAGACCAUGUCAGGAAGCCUGACUAUAAAGGAGAACAAAAAACAGGACAGUGGCAAGGGGAAGCCAAGGAGUUGUUCUGUUAUUAAUGUGGAGAAACAGGAGAGCAUAAAUAAAUUUCCUGAAGAGACAGAAGAGAGCGAGAGUGCAGGGGAAGAUGCAGGAAGAGGGAGGAAAAUUGAAGGAACAAUUUAUCUGCCUGAGAAAGCUGAAGGGAAUGGACCCAGAGCACAGCCCAAGGGGUUGGUCACUCUCAGUCAAGAAGAGGGACAGCCCUUCCAUGGAAUUGUCCAGGCUGUGGGCUGGAAGGAAGUGGAAAUAGGUGGGGACACACAGAUGGGAGAUUGAAGCCAUUAAAGCACUGUGAGUCUCUGUGAAGUCAAGGCCAGCUAUGGUUGAGAUGUGGCCAGAGUAGAAGUGGAUGUUCCAGAGGUGGAUCAACUCCUGGUGGAGGCAACCCCCAGGUGUGGACAGACACGGGUGACUGAUGUGGCUGAGAGGGAGAGGCCACCCUCUCCUGGAGAAGGUCAGGCACGGAGGAUGUGGGGACAGGAGGGUGGUCAUGUGGUAUGAGUGGAAACCAGAGGAAAAGCUCUUGAGGAUUGAAGAGAGGGAGCUGCAGGGGAAUGGAUGACAGAAACAAGAAGGGGGCUGAUGGGGGCUGGGUUGGAUAUGUGAACCUCAUGGUAGGCAGGGCCCAAGAAACACAGGUGGCCUCAGGGACCCAGGAGAAAGCCUCUGGCCACUCAUGUGGCUCUGGGUGUUGGAGAAUGGGCAGCUCCACUCAGGAGAGCACAAGUAGGCUCUUGUGGGAAGCCAGUUCCAGCCAAAGGCAGGAAAAGGGAGCAGAAUGGGGCAGAGGCUGAGGAGGUGGGGGAUGGAGACCAUGGAUCCAGGGCUCAAGGUGGGGUGGGAGGAGCUAGAAGGGCAGGGCAGUGGGAGCAGUUAGGUCUGGGAGGAAGCAUAGGGGCGACUGGGGAUGGAGGAGGCAAAGGAUCAAGAUCUGAAGGUCUUGAGGGUUUGACCAUGCCCCAUGCCAGGGCAGGGGCUUUCCUGCUGGCCUGGGUAGGCCCAGAGGCUUGGCAUAGCUGACUGAUGUUCUUCAGGCUCUGAGGCUGAGGGAUGAGGCAGGGGCAGAGGGGCAGUGAUCACAUUCCCUGAGUUAUGCUGGGCACAUUCCCGAAUCCAGCCGCAGUUGGUGAUGUUCUCUUAUUGGCUUUGAUGCCCUCCUUCCUCUCUCUCUGCCUGGAUAGAACCUACCAACACUAAUGCAGCUCCUACUUUCUCUACAAGCCUUUCCCAAUCAUCCUUGGCCUCUGAGCUCAUACCACAUUCAUUUAAAUCAAAUAACUCAUUUUAAUCCUCAAAUAACCUUGAAUGGUUAUUUUAUAGUUGCACGGCUAUAGACUUAGAAAUACAAUUGGUGGAUCUUUGCUGAUUGCACCCUAACUAAAGAUUUAUCACAUACGUUU